Molecule: ribosomal RNA, 707 nt
Filed under: Pseudomonas sp. M9-2
Lineage: Bacteria; Pseudomonadati; Pseudomonadota; Gammaproteobacteria; Pseudomonadales; Pseudomonadaceae
Description: bacterial SSU rRNA
Rfam family: Bacterial small subunit ribosomal RNA
Source: RNAcentral
GGCGGCGGCCUAACACAUGCAAGUCGAGCGGAUGAAGGGAGCUUGCUCCUGGAUUUAGCGGCGGACGGGUGAGUAAAGCCUAGGAAUCUGCCUGGUAGUGGGGGACAACGACUCGAAAGGGUCGCUAAUACCGCAUACGUCCUACGGGAGAAAGUGGGGGAUCUUCGGACCUCACGCUAUCAGAUGAGCCUAGGUCGGAUUAGCUAGUAGGUGAGGUAAUGGCUCACCUAGGCGACGAUCCGUAACUGGUCUGAGAGGAUGAUCAGUCACACUGGAACUGAGACACGGUCCAGACUCCUACGGGAGGCAGCAGUGGGGAAUAUUGGACAAUGGGCGAAAGCCUGAUCCAGCCAUGCCGCGUGUGUGAAGAAGGUCUUCGGAUUGUAAAGCACUUUAAGUUGGGAGGAAGGGUUGUAGUUUAAUACGCUGCAACUUUGACGUUACCAACAGAAUAAGCACCGGCUAACUCUGUGCCAGCAGCCGCGGUAAUACAGAGGGUGCAAGCGUUAAUCGGAAUUACUGGGCGUAAAGCGCGCGUAGGCGGCUUGAUAAGAUGGGUGUGAAAUCCCCGGGCUUAACCUGGGAACUGCAUCCAUAACUGUCUGGCUAGAGUACAGUAGAGGGUGGUGGAAUUUCCUGUGUAGCGGUGAAAUGCGUAGAUAUAGGAAGGAACACCAGUGGCGAAGGCGACCACCUGGACUGAUACU